Molecule: unclassified non-coding RNA, 2712 nt
Filed under: Hevea brasiliensis (rubber tree)
Lineage: Eukaryota; Viridiplantae; Streptophyta; Magnoliopsida; Malpighiales; Euphorbiaceae
Source: RNAcentral
GAGAGAGAGAGAGAGAGAGAAUGAUGCUCCCCUGUGAAUUAUGAUCUAAUAGCAUUGGCAUAAGAUUGAUUUUGCUCUUUUUGUCGUAUCUACCUCCACAAUUUUAUUUUCCGAGGUCAGUGGAGUUAAGAAUGCAAUACUGACAGUUUGAUUGUACUGUAGGAUCCGGUGUGCCUAUAUGCAUGCAUUUUCUUUGUACUUAUUUCAUCCAUAUCACCUGAAAAGUCUUAUGAUUAUUGUGGCUUAAAUUCAGUUCUUAACUGCCAUGAAUUUGCUGAUAAUUUGAAGAAGGUAGAUUAAAUAGGUUGGAAUAUCAGAGUGCCUUGUAUAUGCAGUGAGCACCCUUAUCUUUAUAAGAGCAUCACAUAGAAAUGGAUUGCAUUUCAACUUGCAGAUACAGGUUUUACAAUGAUAUUUUGUUGGAUAAUGGGGAAGGAGAGAGCUUAAUUUUAGUUUCUCAAAACAAAGCAGAAGCUAUGAAAAUUAAUAGAGCAAAAACAAGUUUAAAAAUGGAGAGAAAAACAUUAUUACAUAAAACAAGCAUAACACAAGGACAUUUUCUUUUUCUUUUUCUUCUUCAUUUUCAUCUCUCCACCUCUGCUAGCUCUCUCUCAAUUCUCCUCUAGUCCUCUCUGCACACGCAUUUUUCCAACAGCAAACUCUUCCAACAGCAAACUCUUCCUUUUUAUUUUCGUUUGUCAACAAAUGCCCAUACUUAGAUAUGGUUGUUUUCCUUUUCUUGUACACACAUAUUUUCACUGGUUAAAAUCUCUUCAACUCCAACAUAUUUAGUUGUGGAUGGGGAGGUGUAGUCUUGUUUGAGAGUGCAACAUUAUGAACUUAACAAGAGACCCACCCAUCAUCUCAAUGCCUUCAUACUUUUGGUGGUUCAGUUGCAUUUACCUUUGAGUGUGCCUAUUUUCUUUCUUCCUCCAUAAUUUUUAUUUGUGUAGCUGUACUGUCUUAUCUAAAUUCAGGUUGCACGCAAUCUAGGGAAAACUCUACGUGCAUUUCAACCAACCAUUAGAGAACUCCAGGAAGUAUCGAGGGAAUUCAAGAGCAGCCUUGAACGAGAGAUUGGUCUUGAUGACAUUUCAAGUCAAACACAAAACACAUAUAGCUCCAACAGAGCAAACAGUGCCUCACCCCCUUCACCGGUUGGCAGCCCUGAAAAUUCUUCAACUGCAGCUGACCCCAGUGAGUGAUCAAAUGUUUCUAACAUCUGCUCUUAUAUGGAAAAGCAAUUAGCCGGAUUAGAAAGUUGAACUUCAUAUUUAAUGCAUUAUAUUGUGUUUUUAAUUACCAUUUGGAUUUUCUGGAAGCUCCUAAUCCACAUUGUUUAGGUUCUCUGUUACAAAUUGCUUUGGGCAUGACCAAGCAAUUUAACAGUGAUUAUGCUAUGUUUUUCAAGAUGAGAUGUCAGUGUUAGAGUUCUUUGGCUUGAUGAUCUUUAAGCUCCAGUAUGGUAAAGCAUUCAUAACUGAGUACUUGACAGACAAAAAGGAUGAAAAGACAUUAUAAAUGGAGCUCCCUUUAAUGUCACCUUUGAAUAAAUAUAUUUCUUUACAACCAACUGCAAAAUCAACAAGCUGUCAUGUAAUAUUUUAUAAUUUCAAUAUCCUUUUGCACUGUGCCCUUUGUGCAGUUAACUGUUGCUAACCAUUGUUAAUUGAAUCCAGUUUAGUAUUUCCUUGAUUGUAUAAUCAAAGAAAUCCUUGCAUUAGGAAAUAUUGCAACAUAUGUCAGUGAUGGUGCCUUUAUGAUCCUUGUGGCCUAGUAAUUGCUUUCACGCAUAAAAUAUGACAAGUCAUUGUCAAUUAUUUUAAACUUGCAGAUGGUGCUCCAUCUCAAACUCGAGCAUAUACCAGUGAGGAUUACUUGAAAAUCACAGAAGAGCAGCUAAAAGCAUCUGCUGCACAACAGAUAGGGCAGACACCACCACCCCCACCAGGAGAAAGCCAGGUUGAAUCUCAAAGUCAAGCUACUGUUAAAAAAACUGCUGCUGCCACACCUCCGCCUCAAAAGCCAGAAAAUGAAGUAUAAGAGACUCUCAACAAAAGGUAAUGUCAGGAACUGUAAUGGUUCUCAGAUUUUACAAAGCCUGGAAUGAGUCAGCUGAGACGUAAAGCCUCAUGAAAGGAGUGUAUUUUUUUUUUUCUUCCCCUUAUUUUUGCUUCUUGCUUCUUUUUUUCUUUUUUAUAGUGCGGAGGGGGUACUCGAAAGAUGAGUCAGUUUCUUAAUGCGCUGUAUAAUACGAUUUUGUAUUGGUUGCCAAAGCUGCGAAGGAAUGUUAAAUUUCAGGGAUGAAUUUAACAAUGUCAGUAUUCGUUAUGUGAUAUUAAUGGAAGAGAGAUGAAUCAACCGGCAGAAAUGGAAGAUAAGUUACUUGGUUUUACUAUAAACGAGUUGAUAAUCAGCUUUCUAAUAGUUAUGUCAUGGCGUGGCGAAUGGCAACCAGAACACUUGGUUGUUAUCGAACUCCAAUGCUGGACACUUCAAUCAAAGAUAACAAAAUAAUGAAAAGAUUUGCAUGAUUGCCGCUGCCUUGAAAAAUAGUUGUUUUGGUGAUUCAUUGAAUUUGAAUGGGUUCGGCAAUAAUCCCGUCCCCCUUGUGGUGAUGUCGUGACGACCAUUUGCAGGCGAUCAGUUUUGGGUGUCAACAUUCUACGAGGCAUGAUCUGCUAGGAACUAACACCAUUGUUUGCCAAUUGC